GGGGGUAUAGAUCAAUGGUAGAGCAUGUGCUUAGCAUACUCAAGGACCUGGCUUCAAUCCCCAGCAUCCCAC
Molecule: transfer RNA, 72 nt
Filed under: Marmota monax (woodchuck)
Lineage: Eukaryota; Metazoa; Chordata; Mammalia; Rodentia; Sciuridae
Description: tRNA.Ala
Source: RNAcentral